AUGCCCAAGGAAAAAUAAGUUAGAAUCAAAGUUAUUUUGAAAUGCAUCACUUGUGUUCGAAAAGGUGCCAAUGAAGAAUCAACGGAGAUUUCCAGAUAUAGCACUCAAAAGAAUCGCCACAAUACACCCGGACAAUUAGAAUUGAAAAAUAAAUUGUCGUCAUUGUCACAAACACUAGUAGAAAAAGGGUCAUUAGUCUCGGUUCAUAAGGGCCUUUAG
This 219-nucleotide ribosomal RNA is filed under the name Triticum aestivum (bread wheat). RNAcentral describes it as "partial small subunit ribosomal RNA". Lineage: Eukaryota; Viridiplantae; Streptophyta; Magnoliopsida; Poales; Poaceae. The record is from RNAcentral.